GCAGUCGACGGUGAAGAGAGCUUGCUCUCUGGAUCAGUGGCGAACGGGUGAGUAACACGUGAGCAAUCUGCCCCUGACUCUGGGAUAAGCGCUGGAAACGGCGUCUAAUACCGGAUACGAGCUGCGAAGGCAUCUUCAGCAGCUGGAAAGAACUUCGGUCAGGGAUGAGCUCGCGGCCUAUCAGCUAGUUGGUGAGGUAAAGGCUCACCAAGGCGUCGACGGGUAGCCGGCCUGAGAGGGUGACCGGCCACACUGGGACUGAGACACGGCCCAGACUCCUACGGGAGGCAGCAGUGGGGAAUAUUGCACAAUGGGCGCAAGCCUGAUGCAGCAACGCCGCGUGAGGGACGACGGCCUUCGGGUUGUAAACCUCUUUUAGCAGGGAAGAAGCGAAAGUGACGGUACCUGCAGAAAAAGCACCGGCUAACUACGUGCCAGCAGCCGCGGUAAUACGUAGGGUGCAAGCGUUAUCCGGAAUUAUUGGGCGUAAAGAGCUCGUAGGCGGUUUGUCGCGUCUGCUGUGAAAACUGGGGGCUCAACCCCCAGCCUGCAGUGGGUACGGGCAGACUAGAGUGCGGUAGGGGAGAUUGGAAUUCCUGGUGUAGCGGUGGAAUGCGCAGAUAUCAGGAGGAACACCGAUGGCGAAGGCAGAUCUCUGGGCCGUAACUGACGCUGAGGAGCGAAAGGGUGGGGAGCAAACAGGCUUAGAUACCCUGGUAGUCCACCCCGUAAACGUUGGGAACUAGUUGUGGGGUCCAUUCCACGGAUUCCGUGACGCAGCUAACGCAUUAAGUUCCCCGCCUGGGGAGUACGGCCGCAAGGCUAAAACUCAAAGGAAUUGACGGGGACCCGCACAAGCGGCGGAGCAUGCGGAUUAAUUCGAUGCAACGCGAAGAACCUUACCAAGGCUUGACAUAUACGAGAACGCUGCAGAAAUGUAGAACUCUUUGGACACUCGUAAACA
This 964-nucleotide ribosomal RNA is filed under the name Microbacterium sp. Its description in RNAcentral is "bacterial SSU rRNA". It matches the Rfam family "Bacterial small subunit ribosomal RNA", at positions 57 to 1036 of the family's 1533-position model. The record is from RNAcentral. Lineage: Bacteria; Bacillati; Actinomycetota; Actinomycetes; Micrococcales; Microbacteriaceae.